UGAUCCUGGCUCAGGACGAACGCUGGCGGCGUGCUUAACACAUGCAAGUCGAACGGUAAGGCCUUCGGGUACACGAGUGGCGAACGGGUGAGUAACACGUGGGUGAUCUGCCCUGCACUUUGGGAUAAGCCUGGGAAACUGGGUCUAAUACCGAAUAGGAUCAUGCACCUCAUGGUGUGUGGUGGAAAGCUUUUGCGGUGUGGGAUGGGCCCGCGGCCUAUCAGCUUGUUGGUGGGGUAAUGGCCUACCAAGGCGACGACGGGUAGCCGGCCUGAGAGGGUGUCCGGCCACACUGGGACUGAGAUACGGCCCAGACUCCUACGGGAGGCAGCAGUGGGGAAUAUUGCACAAUGGGCGCAAGCCUGAUGCAGCGACGCCGCGUGAGGGAUGACGGCCUUCGGGUUGUAAACCUCUUUCAGUAGGGACGAAGCGCAAGUGACGGUACCUAUAGAAGAAGCACCGGCCAACUACGUGCCAGCAGCCGCGGUAAUACGUAGGGUGCGAGCGUUGUCCGGAAUUACUGGGCGUAAAGAGCUCGUAGGUGGUUUGUCGCGUUGUUCGUGAAAACUCACAGCUUAACUGUGGGCGUGCGGGCGAUACGGGCAGACUGGAGUACUGCAGGGGAGACUGGAAUUCCUGGUGUAGCGGUGGAAUGCGCAGAUAUCAGGAGGAACACCGGUGGCGAAGGCGGGUCUCUGGGCAGUAACUGACGCUGAGGAGCGAAAGCGUGGGGAGCGAACAGGAUUAGAUACCCUGGUAGUCCACGCCGUAAACGGUGGGUACUAGGUGUGGGUUUCCUUCCUUGGGAUCCGUGCCGUAGCUAACGCAUUAAGUACCCCGCCUGGGGAGUACGGCCGCAAGGCUAAAACUCAAAGGAAUUGACGGGGGCCCGCACAAGCGGCGGAGCAUGUGGAUUAAUUCGAUGCAACGCGAAGAACCUUACCUGGGUUUGACAUGCACAGGACGCCGGCAGAGAUGUCGGUUCCCUUGUGGCCUGUGUGCAGGUGGUGCAUGGCUGUCGUCAGCUCGUGUCGUGAGAUGUUGGGUUAAGUCCCGCAACGAGCGCAACCCUUGUCUCAUGUUGCCAGCACGUUAUGGUGGGGACUCGUGAGAGACUGCCGGGGUCAACUCGGAGGAAGGUGGGGAUGACGUCAAGUCAUCAUGCCCCUUAUGUCCAGGGCUUCACACAUGCUACAAUGGCCGGUACAAAGGGCUGCGAUGCCGUGAGGUGGAGCGAAUCCUUUAAAGCCGGUCUCAGUUCGGAUCGGGGUCUGCAACUCGACCCCGUGAAGUCGGAGUCGCUAGUAAUCGCAGAUCAGCAACGCUGCGGUGAAUACGUUCCCGGGCCUUGUACACACCGCCCGUCACGUCAUGAAAGUCGGUAACACCCGAAGCCGGUGGCCUAACCCCUUGUGGGAGGGAGCCGUCGAAGGUGGGAUCGGCGAUUGGGACGAA
This 1455-nucleotide ribosomal RNA is filed under the name Mycolicibacterium sphagni. RNAcentral describes it as "bacterial SSU rRNA". It matches the Rfam family "Bacterial small subunit ribosomal RNA". Lineage: Bacteria; Bacillati; Actinomycetota; Actinomycetes; Mycobacteriales; Mycobacteriaceae. The record is from RNAcentral.